Drosophila suzukii is the source of this 386-nucleotide non-coding RNA. NCBI's taxonomy places the organism in Eukaryota, Metazoa, Arthropoda, Insecta, Diptera, Drosophilidae. The record is from RefSeq and is a predicted model, not a curated record.
GGUAAAUUUCCGCUGCACGGUCAUACUUAAUCUACCAACAAGCGUGCUUGUGCUGAUAAAAUUUACUGAUCUUUAAAUUGGUCUACAGGAUCCAGAUUCAAAACGGCAGAAACCAUCAUUCACAAAGGUCACUUUGGGAUACAGUUACCUUCCACCAGAUUUCGGACCCCGCUACCUGGGAAAGCGCUACCUGUUUUUACUGCGAAUCGUGACAGUUUGCUUUUGGAAACGGAUUCCGAGAAGGGAUUUCAUAUACCAGCUCGUAAAAUAAUGGAGAUUAUGGGUGAAAACAUCUUAAUAAAGGAGUCGAAAAUAUUUUGAGAAAGAUUAUUUGUCUACUAAAAAGUAUUAUACAUUUACUUACAUCAAGAAUAUUCAUAAAGAGC